CACUCCUGCGGGAGGCAGCAGUGGGGAAUAUUGGACAAUGGGGGCAACCCUGAUCCAGCCAUGCCGCGUGAGUGAUGAAGGCCCUAGGGUUGUAAAGCUCUUUUGUGCGGGAAGAUAAUGACGGUACCGCAAGAAUAAGCCCCGGCUAACUUCGUGCCAGCAGCCGCGGUAAUACGAAGGGGGCUAGCGUUGCUCGGAAUCACUGGGCGUAAAGGGUGCGUAGGCGGGUCUUUAAGUCAGGGGUGAAAUCCUGGAGCUCAACUCCAGAACUGCCUUUGAUACUGAGGAUCUUGAGUCCGGAAGAGGUGAGUGGAACUGCGAGUGUAGAGGUGAAAUUCGUAGAUAUUCGCAAGAACACCAGUGGCGAAGGCGGCUCACUGGUCCGGUACUGACGCUGAGGCACGAAAGCGUGGGGAGCAAACAGGAUUAGAAACCCCUGUAGUCCCAUG
This 449-nucleotide ribosomal RNA is filed under the name uncultured organism. Its description in RNAcentral is "partial 16S ribosomal RNA". It matches the Rfam family "Bacterial small subunit ribosomal RNA", at positions 334 to 799 of the family's 1533-position model. The record is from RNAcentral.